RNAcentral lists this ribosomal RNA (459 nucleotides) under uncultured bacterium. RNAcentral's name for it is "partial 16S ribosomal RNA". It matches the Rfam family "Bacterial small subunit ribosomal RNA", at positions 338 to 795 of the family's 1533-position model. The record is from RNAcentral.
CCUACGGGAGGCAGCAGUGAGGAAUAUUGGUCAAUGGGAGAGAUCCUGAACCAGCCAAGCCGCGUGAAGGAAGACGGCCCUAUGGGUUGUAAACCUCUUUUGUCGGAGAACAAAACCCGGGACGUGUCCCGGCCUGCGUGUAUUCGAAGAAAAAGCAUCGGCUAACUCCGUGCCAGCAGCCGCGGUAAUACGGAGGAUGCGAGCGUUAUCCGGAUUUAUUGGGUUUAAAGGGUGCGUAGGCGGUUCGUUAAGUCAGCGGUAAAAUUGGGGGGCUCAACCCCAUAGAGCCGUUGAAACUGGCAGACUUGAGUACGGGGAAAGCAGGCGGAAUUCGUGGUGUAGCGGUGAAAUGCUUAGAUAUGACGAAGAACCCCGAUUGCGAAGGCAGCUUGCUGCAGCGGAACUGACGCUGAUGCUCGAAAGUGCGGGUAUCGAACAGGAUUAGAUACCCGAGUAGUC